UAAGCCUGUGAAGGUGUGUCGUGAGGCAUGCUGGAGGUAUCAGAAGUGCGAAUGCUGACAUAAGUAACGAUAAAGCGGGUGAAAAGCCCGCUCGCCGGAAGACCAAGGGUUCCUGUCCAACGUUAAUCGGGGCAGGGUGAGUCGACCCCUAAGGCGAGGCCGAAAGGCGUAGUCGAUGGGAAACGGGUUAAUAUUCCCGUACUUGGUGUUACUGCGAAGGGGGGACGGAGAAGGCUAUGUUGGCCGGGCGACGGUUGUCCCGGUUUAAGCGUGUAGGUGUGUGUUCCAGGUAAAUCCGGUUCACUUUAACACUGAGGCGUGACGACGAGGCACUACGGUGCUGAAGCAACAAAUGCCCUGCUUCCAGGAAAAGCCUCUAAGCAUCAGGUAACACGAAAUCGUACCCCAAACCGACACAGGUGGUCAGGUAGAGAAUACCAAGGCGCUUGAGAGAACUCGGGUGAAGGAACUAGGCAAAAUGGUGCCGUAACUUCGGGAGAAGGCACGCUGACACGUAGGUGAAGUGAUUUACUCACGGAGCUGAAGUCAGUCGAAGAUACCAGCUGGCUGCAACUGUUUAUUAAAAACACAGCACUGUGCAAACACGAAAGUGGACGUAUACGGUGUGACGCCUGCCCGGUGCCGGAAGGUUAAUUGAUGGGGUCAGCGCAAGCGAAGCUCCUGAUCGAAGCCCCGGUAAACGGCGGCCGUAACUAUAACGGUCCUAAGGUAGCGAAAUUCCUUGUCGGGUAAGUUCCGACCUGCACGAAUGGCGUAAUGAUGGCCAGGCUGUCUCCACCCGAGACUCAGUGAAAUUGAACUCGCUGUGAAGAUGCAGUGUACCCGCGGCAAGACGGAAAGACCCCGUGAACCUUUACUAUAGCUUGACACUGAACAUUGAGCCUUGAUGUGUAGGAUAGGUGGGAGGCUUUGAAGUGUGGACGCCAGUCUGCAUGGAGCCGACCUUGAAAUACCACCCUUUAAUGUUUGAUGUUCUAACGUGGACCCGUAAUCCGGGUUGCGGACAGUGUCUGGUGGGUAGUUUGACUGGGGCGGUCUCCUCCUAAAGAGUAACGGAGGAGCACGAAGGUUGGCUAAUCCUGGUCGGACAUCAGGAGGUUAGUGCAAUGGCAUAAGCCAGCUUGACUGCGAGCGUGACGGCGCGAGCAGGUGCGAAAGCAGGUCAUAGUGAUCCGGUGGUUCUGAAUGGAAGGGCCAUCGCUCAACGGAUAAAAGGUACUCCGGGGAUAACAGGCUGAUACCGCCCAAGAGUUCAUAUCGACGGCGGUGUUUGGCACCUCGAUGUCGGCUCAUCACAUCCUGGGGCUGAAGUAGGUCCCAAGGGUAUGGCUGUUCGCCAUUUAAAGUGGUACGCGAGCUGGGUUUAGAACGUCGUGAGACAGUUCGGUCCCUAUCUGCCGUGGGCGCUGGAGAACUGAGGGGGGCUGCUCCUAGUACGAGAGGACCGGAGUGGACGCAUCACUGGUGUUCGGGUUGUCAUGCCAAUGGCACUGCCCGGUAGCUAAAUGCGGAAGAGAUAAGUGCUGAAAGCAUCUAAGCACGAAACUUGCCCCGA
RNAcentral lists this ribosomal RNA (1576 nucleotides) under Salmonella enterica. RNAcentral describes it as "partial 23S ribosomal RNA". It matches the Rfam family "Bacterial large subunit ribosomal RNA", at positions 1243 to 2802 of the family's 2925-position model. The record is from RNAcentral. Lineage: Bacteria; Pseudomonadati; Pseudomonadota; Gammaproteobacteria; Enterobacterales; Enterobacteriaceae.